GCACGGGUGCGUAACGCGUGGGAAUCUGCCCUUGGGUACGGAAUAACAGUGAGAAAUUACUGCUAAUACCGUAUGAUGUCUUCGGACCAAAGAUUUAUCGCCCAAGGAUGAGCCCGCGUUGGAUUAGCUAGUUGGUAGGGUAAAAGCCUACCAAGGCGACGAUCCAUAGCUGGUCUGAGAGGAUGAUCAGCCACACUGGGACUGAGACACGGCCCAGACUCCUACGGGAGGCAGCAGUGGGGAAUAUUGGACAAUGGGGGAAACCCUGAUCCAGCAAUGCCGCGUGAGUGAUGAAGGCCUUAGGGUUGUAAAGCUCUUUUACCCGGGAUGAUAAUGACAGUACCGGGAGAAUAAGCUCCGGCUAACUCCGUGCCAGCAGCCGCGGUAAUACGGAGGGAGCUAGCGUUGUUCGGAAUUACUGGGCGUAAAGCGCGCGUAGGCGGUUUUGCAAGUUAGAGGUGAAAGCCCGGGGCUCAACCCCGGAACUGCCUU
This 492-nucleotide ribosomal RNA is filed under the name uncultured Alphaproteobacteria bacterium. RNAcentral's name for it is "bacterial SSU rRNA". It matches the Rfam family "Bacterial small subunit ribosomal RNA", at positions 100 to 627 of the family's 1533-position model. The record is from RNAcentral. Lineage: Bacteria; Pseudomonadati; Pseudomonadota; Alphaproteobacteria.